Molecule: ribosomal RNA, 762 nt
Filed under: uncultured bacterium
Lineage: Bacteria
Description: bacterial SSU rRNA
Rfam family: Bacterial small subunit ribosomal RNA
Source: RNAcentral
CGUUGAAACUGUCGGUCUUGAGUGUACACAGGGCAGGUGGAAUUUGUGGUGUAGCGGUGAAAUGCUUAGAUAUCACGAGGAACUCCGAUCGCGAAGGCAUCCUGCCGGGGUACGACUGACGCUGAGGCUCGAAAGUGUGGGUAUCAAACAGGAUUAGAUACCCUGGUAGUCCACACGGUAAACGAUGAAUGCUCGUUGUUGGCGAUACAAUGUCAGUGACCAAGCGAAAGCGUUAAGCAUUCCACCUGGGGAGUACGCCGGCAACGGUGAAACUCAAAGGAAUUGACGGGGGCCCGCACAAGCGGAGGAACAUGUGGUUUAAUUCGAUGAUACGCGAGGAACCUUACCCGGGCUUGAAUUGCAGUUGCAUAAGUCAGAGAUGACUUUUCCCUUCGGGGCUACUGUGAAGGUGCUGCAUGGUUGUCGUCAGCUCGUGCCGUGAGGUGUCGGCUUAAGUGCCAUAACGAGCGCAACCCCUUUCCAUAGUUGCCAUCGGGUAAUGCCGGGCCCUCUAUGGAUACUGCCGUCGCAAGGCGUGAGGAAGGUGGGGAUGACGUCAAAUCAGCACGGCCCUUACGUCCGGGGCUACACACGUGUUACAAUGGGGGGUACAGAAGGCCGCUACCCGGCGACGGGAUGCCAAUCCUUAAAACCCCUCUCAGUUCGGACUGGAGUCUGCAACCCGACUCCACGAAGCUGGAUUCGCUAGUAAUCGCGCAUCAGCCAUGGCGCGGUGAAUACGUUCCCGGGCCUUGUACACAC